RNAcentral lists this transfer RNA (87 nucleotides) under Pseudolabrys sp. Its description in RNAcentral is "tRNA-Leu". It matches the Rfam family "tRNA". From Rfam's summary of the family: Transfer RNA (tRNA) molecules are approximately 80 nucleotides in length. Their secondary structure includes four short double-helical elements and three loops (D, anti-codon, and T loops). RNAcentral also lists the same sequence under 4 other names. Lineage: Bacteria; Pseudomonadati; Pseudomonadota; Alphaproteobacteria; Hyphomicrobiales; Xanthobacteraceae. The record is from RNAcentral.
GCCCCUGUGGCGGAAUUGGUAGACGCGCCUGACUCAAAAUCAGGUAAUGGCAACAUUGUGCUGGUUCGAGUCCGGCCAGGGGCACCA